Molecule: ribosomal RNA, 332 nt
Filed under: uncultured bacterium
Lineage: Bacteria
Description: bacterial SSU rRNA
Rfam family: Bacterial small subunit ribosomal RNA
Source: RNAcentral
CGUGUAGGCGGUAAUGUAAGUCAGACGUGAAAUCCUUUGGCUCAACUGAAGAACUGCGUCUGAAACUGCAUGACUAGAGUGCAGAAGAGGGAAACGGAAUUCCCGGUGUAGAGGUGAAAUUCGUAGAUAUCGGGAGGAACACCGGUGGCGAAGGCGGUUUCCUGGUCUGACACUGACGCUGAGGCGCGAAAGCGUGGGGGAGCAAACAGGAUUAGAUACCCUGGUAGUCCACGCCGUAAACGGUGGGUACUGGGUGUGGGAGGUGUAAUGCCUUCUGUGCCGAAGCUAACGCGUUAAGUACCCCGCCUGGGGAGUACGGCCGCAAGGUUGAA